GAGAGAUGCACUCCUCAACAUUGCCUGUUGCUGAAGAUUCAGAACUAGCAGCAACACCAAAACAAAAAGAUCAAGCUGGGGUGACAUUGUAACGAGAACUUCUCAGCUGGAGUUAAUUGAUUUGAACAAUUCAAGUCCACCAGGCAAAUCAGCCCAGGACAGCUUACCACGCUGGCCGAGUUAAUUUUUUUUUCACAUAGUUUUUGAACGGCUGCGAUGUUAAGAGGAGACCAAAGGCUGUGAGAUGGAGAAAAUAGAAUUCACUGAAUGUCAAGGGACUUGCCCAGGGACACACAGUGUGUAAGUGAAAGAUUGGGAUGUGAAUCCGUGUCCUGAUUUCAGGCUAAGAGCUCUCAGGUGUCAUUCUUAUAUACCCAGAGACAAAAUAAA
RNAcentral lists this long non-coding RNA (390 nucleotides) under Homo sapiens (human). RNAcentral's name for it is "HSALNT0300016". Lineage: Eukaryota; Metazoa; Chordata; Mammalia; Primates; Hominidae. The record is from RNAcentral.